This 301-nucleotide ribosomal RNA is filed under the name uncultured bacterium. RNAcentral's name for it is "partial 16S ribosomal RNA". It matches the Rfam family "Bacterial small subunit ribosomal RNA", at positions 509 to 807 of the family's 1533-position model. The record is from RNAcentral.
CAGUAGCCGCGAGAAUACGAAGGGUGCAAGCGUUAAUCGGAAUUACUGGGCGUAAAGCGCGCGUAGGUGGUUUGGUAAGAUGGAUGUGAAAUCCCCGGGCUCAACCUGGGAACUGCAUCCAUAACUGCCUGACUAGAGUACGGUAGAGGGUGGUGGAAUUUCCUGUGUAGCGGUGAAAUGCGUAGAUAUAGGAAGGAACACCAGUGGCGAAGGCGACCACCUGGACUGAUACUGACACUGAGGUGCGAAAGCGUGGGGAGCAAACAGGAUUAGAUACCCCUGUAGUCCCUGUCUCUUAUAC